UGCUGUCCGACAUUCGUGAGGUUCAGAAGUGCAUUGUAUAUUGAAUAUAAAGUGUUUGCCCUUUUAUUAUUUCAGUAACGCCUGAUUCCUUUCUUUUUUCUCCUCUUUCGCUUGGGUGGGGACUGUGCAGUCACCGAGAAGCCUCUUUUAACGUACAUCUAUCUUAUUGGAUAGGAUUUGUUCUUCCUACGCAGACAAUAUACUGCAAUGAUUGGAUGCUGAUCUAGGCUAAAAAGGGGUAAAGGGCUCUGCGAGAUGACUGAUUUUAUGAUUUCUAUGUUAUAUGGUAGGAGCCAAAAAUUAUGAAACUUUUGUUGAAUAUUCUUUCUAUUCUAUCUGAAUAUUAUAAUCUCAUAAAAUAAGAAAAUUGGAAAUUGUAUAAAAUUUAGAAGGAUAAAUUUGCGACAAAUGAAAAUAUGGAAUAUAUAAAAGAAUGAAGCUUGAACGAAAUAUGCAUCGAAUUUUCAGUAUGA
Eufriesea mexicana is the source of this 473-nucleotide long non-coding RNA. RefSeq lists it as uncharacterized. Lineage: Eukaryota; Metazoa; Arthropoda; Insecta; Hymenoptera; Apidae. The transcript is spliced from 3 exons. The record is from RefSeq and is a predicted model, not a curated record.